AACGAUAAAGCGGGUGAAAAGCCCGCUCGCCGGAAGACCAAGGGUUCCUGUCCAACGUUAAUCGGGGCAGGGUGAGUCGACCCCUAAGGCGAGGCCGAAAGGCGUAGUCGAUGGGAAACAGGUUAAUAUUCCUGUACUUGGUGUUACUGCGAAGGGGGGACGGAGAAGGCUAUGUUAGCCGGGCGACGGUUGUCCCGGUUUAAGCAUGUAGGCUGGUUAUCCAGGCAAAUCCGGAUAACCAAGGCUGAGGUGUGAUGACGAGGCACUACGGUGCUGAAGUAACAAAUGCCCUGCUUCCAGGAAAAGCCUCUAAGCAUCAGGUAACAUCAAAUCGUACCCCAAACCGACACAGGUGGUCAGGUAGAGAAUACCAAGGCGCUUGAGAGAACUCGGGUGAAGGAACUAGGCAAAAUGGUGCCGUAACUUCGGGAGAAGGCACGCUGGUGUGUAGGUGAAGUCCCU
RNAcentral lists this ribosomal RNA (462 nucleotides) under Klebsiella pneumoniae. Its description in RNAcentral is "bacterial LSU rRNA". It matches the Rfam family "Bacterial large subunit ribosomal RNA", at positions 1308 to 1769 of the family's 2925-position model. The record is from RNAcentral. Lineage: Bacteria; Pseudomonadati; Pseudomonadota; Gammaproteobacteria; Enterobacterales; Enterobacteriaceae.